Molecule: long non-coding RNA, 1098 nt
Filed under: Vulpes vulpes (red fox)
Lineage: Eukaryota; Metazoa; Chordata; Mammalia; Carnivora; Canidae
Description: lncRNA (ENSVVUG00000020851.1)
Source: RNAcentral
GUCUUCCUGGCACAAUUAAACUGUCAAUUAUAUCCUAGUAAAGUGGAAGAUAGAUUCUUAGAGAACUCAUGGAAAUAUCUACACAUUUCUAUAAAACAUUAGGAGAUUUAGUGAGGUUUCUGACUUGUGAGGAGUAAGAAUCAGACACCUUUAAAAAUGGUUUCUUUCAUCUUCAAAAGCAGUUUACAAAAUUGAAGAUUAGAUCUGCUUCAAAGAAAGAGAAAGGGCUCUGUUACAUAUGUUUUAGAACAUUAAAAUAACAUUUGCAAUAUGCCCCCAAAUUUUCAUUUUCCUUAUCAGUGCACACUUAUGUGAUUAAUUCUUUCUCUGCAGUUUCCUGCUUUCAUAAGGAAGUCUGCUUUUGGAUCAUCAAGUGUACUGAAAAAUCUGACUCUGUUUACUGCUACAGACUGAGAAUGGUGAAGCAUUAUUAUAACCAAACUAAGAUGAUUUUGGGUAGUCAUGGGGAGUAACUUUCAAAGCCAUGACUCCCCAAGCAAAGUGGCUUGUUUUCUCCACAUGAUACGAGGUUGGUAACAGAGGCAGCUGUGAGCCUGUGUCCCAUGCAAAUGCAAGAGGGACAAGAGACAAAAAAGUGAUUUCUAUUAAAAAGGUGUCAGAACUGGGGAAAAAAAAAAAAAAGGAGACGUUGGCAAGUCUGCGUUCUGAGAAGCCAACAGCACUAUUUGGUGGUGGAUCUGUUCGAUCAGCUGCAGCUGGUGGAUCUGCAGAGAGGCCUGUGCAGAAGUGUGUGUGUACACAUGCCUACGAUGUGCGUGCAUCACGUGUUCACUCCCCACCCAAGACAGGAAGGACCCCUUAGUGAAACCGCUGACUUGCUGACUUGCAGUGUUUUUGCCAAAACCAAGAUUGCGAAGGACACCUCCACCUCCAGCUAGAGGGGCGGCCUCCCCGGCGGGGUGGACUCGCUUUCCUUCUCUGUAGCCAGACCUUGAAAAAAUUGUGACUUUCACUGGGAUCUGUUCCGCAGUGGCCUUUUGCUAUGUGCCUCCUGAGAAAUUCGUCUUUUUUGUAUAAAAAAGUUGAAAAUGUAUUUCCUGAAAUAAAUGUCCAAAAGCAAAAAUAUAUAUAUAUGUC